UAGGGGGCAAGCGUUAUCCGGAUUUACUGGGUGUAAAGGGAGCGUAGACGGCAGCGCAAGUCUGGAGUGAAAUCUCGGGGCUCAACCCCGGAACUGCUUUGGAAACUGUGCAGCUGGAGUGCAGGAGAGGUAAGCGGAAUUCCUAGUGUAGCGGUGAAAUGCGUAGAUAUUAGGAGGAACACCGGUGGCGAAGGCGGCUUACUGGACUGUAACUGACGUUGAGGCUCGAAAGCGUGGGGAGCAAA
This 245-nucleotide ribosomal RNA is filed under the name uncultured bacterium. Its description in RNAcentral is "partial 16S ribosomal RNA". It matches the Rfam family "Bacterial small subunit ribosomal RNA", at positions 528 to 772 of the family's 1533-position model. The record is from RNAcentral.